Molecule: unclassified non-coding RNA, 321 nt
Filed under: Hevea brasiliensis (rubber tree)
Lineage: Eukaryota; Viridiplantae; Streptophyta; Magnoliopsida; Malpighiales; Euphorbiaceae
Source: RNAcentral
AAUUAGAAAAUAAUAUCAAAGAAACUUUUAGGUUUCGGAGUGUUCGUUUGAUUUAGAAUCUACUAUGGAUAUGUUAUGGUGCAAGUAUGAUGCAUGAAGGCUCAUCAGUUGAAGCUACUUCUACUAGUGAUUCCAUUUAUGGGUAAUUUGAAUGAGCAUACUCAAAUCCAUAUCCAUAUAUUUAACAUCCAAUGAACUCAGAUUUCUCCUCAUUAGAGCAGCCAUUCUCUCACUCCAAUCCAUUUAAUAUGAGUUUCUUCUUCAGCUUCAAUCCAUCACAGUAUCAUCAAUAUAAUCAAACUAAUGAUCAAAGCUCCCAAU